AUUGAACGCUGGCGGCAUGCUUUACACAUGCAAGUCGAACGGUAACAGGCCGCAAGGUGCUGACGAGUGGCGAACGGGUGAGUAAUGCAUCGGAACGUGCCCAGUCGUGGGGGAUAACUACUCGAAAGAGUAGCUAAUACCGCAUACGAUCUAUGGAUGAAAGCGGGGGACCGUAAGGCCUCGCGCGAUUGGAGCGGCCGAUGUCAGAUUAGGUAGUUGGUGGGGUAAAGGCUCACCAAGCCAACGAUCUGUAGCUGGUCUGAGAGGACGACCAGCCACACUGGGACUGAGACACGGCCCAGACUCCUACGGGAGGCAGCAGUGGGAAAUUUUGGACAAUGGGCGCAAGCCUGAUCCAGCAAUGCCGCGUGCAGGAAGAAGGCCUUCGGGUUGUAAACUGCUUUUGUACGGAACGAAACGGCUCUGGUUAAUACCCGGGGCUAAUGACGGUACCGUAAGAAUAAGCACCGGCUAACUACGUG
RNAcentral lists this ribosomal RNA (482 nucleotides) under uncultured bacterium. RNAcentral describes it as "partial 16S ribosomal RNA". It matches the Rfam family "Bacterial small subunit ribosomal RNA", at positions 30 to 507 of the family's 1533-position model. The record is from RNAcentral.